GUAACUAUAAUUUAAAAAAAAUAUUAGAUUGUGGUUCUAAAAAUGGAAGUGAAAAUCUUCCUAGUAACC
RNAcentral lists this transfer RNA (69 nucleotides) under Hypnos monopterygius (coffin ray). RNAcentral's name for it is "tRNA-His". It matches the Rfam family "tRNA". Rfam says of the family: Transfer RNA (tRNA) molecules are approximately 80 nucleotides in length. Their secondary structure includes four short double-helical elements and three loops (D, anti-codon, and T loops). Lineage: Eukaryota; Metazoa; Chordata; Chondrichthyes; Torpediniformes; Hypnidae. The record is from RNAcentral.